CGGGGGGCAGCAGUGGGGAAUAUUGGACAAUGGGCGCAAGCCUGAUCCAGCCAUGCCGCGUGAGUGAUGAAGGCCUUAGGGUUGUAAAGCUCUUUUGUCCGGGACGAUAAUGACGGUACCGGAAGAAUAAGCCCCGGCUAACUUCGUGCCAGCAGCCGCGGUAAUACGAAGGGGGCUAGCGUUGCUCGGAAUCACUGGGCGUAAAGGGCGCGUAGGCGGCCGAUUAAGUCGGGGGUGAAAGCCUGUGGCUCAACCACAGAAUUGCCUUCGAUACUGGUUGGCUUGAGACCGGAAGAGGACAGCGGAACUGCGAGUGUAGAGGUGAAAUUCGUAGAUAUUCGCAAGAACACCAGUGGCGAAGGCGGCUGUCUGGUCCGGUUCUGACGCUGAGGCGCGAAAGCGUGGGGAGCAAACAGGAUUAGAUACCCCAGU
RNAcentral lists this ribosomal RNA (432 nucleotides) under uncultured Methylobacteriaceae bacterium. Its description in RNAcentral is "bacterial SSU rRNA". It matches the Rfam family "Bacterial small subunit ribosomal RNA", at positions 342 to 791 of the family's 1533-position model. Lineage: Bacteria; Pseudomonadati; Pseudomonadota; Alphaproteobacteria; Hyphomicrobiales; Methylobacteriaceae. The record is from RNAcentral.